RNAcentral lists this ribosomal RNA (429 nucleotides) under Chloroflexota bacterium. RNAcentral's name for it is "Chloroflexi bacterium partial 16S ribosomal RNA". It matches the Rfam family "Bacterial small subunit ribosomal RNA", at positions 355 to 776 of the family's 1533-position model. The record is from RNAcentral. Lineage: Bacteria; Bacillati; Chloroflexota.
UGGGGAAUAUUGCACAAUGGGCGCAAGCCUGAUGCAGCCAUGCCGCGUGUAUGAAAAAGGCCUUCGGGUUGUAAAGUACUUUCAGCGGGGAGGAAGGGAGUAAAGUUAAUACCUUUGCUCAUUGACGUUACCCGCAGAAGAAGCACCGGCUAACUCCGUGCCAGCAGCCGCGGUAAUACGGAGGGUGCAAGCGUUAAUCGGAAUUACUGGGCGUAAAGCGCACGCAGGCGGUUUGUUAAGUCAGAUGUGAAAUCCCCGGGCUCAACCUGGGAACUGCAUCUGAUACUGGCAAGCUUGAGUCUCGUAGAGGGGGGUAGAAUUCCAGGUGUAGCGGUGAAAUGCGUAGAGAUCUGGAGGAAUACCGGUGGCGAAGGCGGCCCCCUGGACGAAGACUGACGCUCAGGUGCGAAAGCGUGGGGAGCAAACAGG